Passer domesticus (house sparrow) is the source of this 471-nucleotide long non-coding RNA. RefSeq lists it as uncharacterized. Lineage: Eukaryota; Metazoa; Chordata; Aves; Passeriformes; Passeridae. The transcript is spliced from 4 exons. The record is from RefSeq and is a predicted model, not a curated record.
CAGAGAUAGCUCAUAGUUCAGUAGCUGUUCAUGGUAUUUCACCACCUUCAGGAGAUCUGCAGCCUGUUAGAAGGACAACUAGAGGGCAGACAGCAGAGCCCUAAUGCAGUCCUAUGGUUUGGUAAAGCAUUAAGAAAUUGUGGCACAUGAUUAUCACUGCACUCUUGGGAAGGCAGGCCUUACUGUGCAUAGCCACUGGCACUGAACCAGAAGAGUGAAAGCUGUAAAUUGGAACUUCGGGAAGAGUGACUUGAACUAAUGUAGUGGAGAAGUCUGGCCUUCUGCUGAAACAGAUAACCUUUCCUUCCUGAGAUAACAUUAAAAUAGCAUUCUUCCCUCUUGGAAGAGCUGUACGUUUAGAGAUCAUGGCCAUUGUACGCUCACCUUGAAUCCAGCUAUGAAAUCAUGCAACACGCUUGUUCUCUGGUGAAAGUCAUAAACCAACAAGGUAGUGAAUAAAUAUCACUGUGA